RNAcentral lists this ribosomal RNA (483 nucleotides) under Rhodotorula diobovata. Its description in RNAcentral is "eukaryotic LSU rRNA". It matches the Rfam family "Eukaryotic large subunit ribosomal RNA", at positions 104 to 591 of the family's 3401-position model. Lineage: Eukaryota; Fungi; Basidiomycota; Microbotryomycetes; Sporidiobolales; Sporidiobolaceae. The record is from RNAcentral.
GAGCUCAAAUUUAUAAUCUGGCACCUUCGGUGUCCGAGUUGUAAUCUCUAGAAGUGUUUUCCGCGUUGGACCGCACACAAGUCUGUUGGAAUACAGCGGCAUAGUGGUGAAACCCCCGUAUAUGGUGCGGACGCCCAGCGCUUUGUGAUACACUUUCAAUGAGUCGAGUUGUUUGGGAAUGCAGCUCAAAUUGGGUGGUAAAUUCCAUCUAAAGCUAAAUAUUGGCGAGAGACCGAUAGCGAACAAGUACCGUGAGGGAAAGAUGAAAAGCACUUUGGAAAGAGAGUUAACAGUACGUGAAAUUGUUGGAAGGGAAACGCUUGAAGUCAGACUUGCUUGCCGGAGCUUGCUUCGGUUUGCAGGCCAGCAUCAGUUUUCCGGGGUGGAUAAUGACGGUUUGAAGGUAGCAGUCUCGGCUGUGUUAUAGCUUUCCGUUGGAUACGCCCUGGGGGACUGAGGAACGCAGCGUGCUUUUUGCGAAAG